AACGAACGCUGGCGGCAUGCCUAACACAUGCAAGUCGAACGCCUGUAGCAAUACAGGAGUGGCAGACGGGUGCAUAACACGUGGGAACCUACCCUUGGGUACGGAAUAACCGCGGGAAACUGCGGCUAAUACCGGAUACGUCCUCUGGGAGAAAGAUUCAUCGCCCUUGGAGGGGCCCGCGUCGGAUUAGCUAGUUGGUGAGGUAACGGCUCACCAAGGCGACGAUCCGUAGCUGAUCUGAGAGGAUGAUCAGCCACACUGGAACUGAGACACGGUCCAGACUCCUACGGGAGGCAGCAGUGGGGAAUAUUGGACAAUGGGGGCAACCCUGAUCCAGCAAUGCCGCGUGGGUGAUGAAGGCCUUCGGGUUGUAAAGCCCUUUUGGCAGGGACGAUGAUGACGGUACCUGCAGAAUAAGCCCCGGCUAACUUCGUGCCAGCCGCCGCCGUAA
RNAcentral lists this ribosomal RNA (451 nucleotides) under uncultured bacterium. RNAcentral describes it as "partial 16S ribosomal RNA". It matches the Rfam family "Bacterial small subunit ribosomal RNA", at positions 29 to 523 of the family's 1533-position model. The record is from RNAcentral.